CAGGUUUGUCUUUAUCACUCUAAAUUUGCGUAGAUUCUCUGGGACUGUCACUACAUAAUUACACACACUUAGGCACGUUGUUUGAAAUUAACCCUGAGCCUUUCUAGCCAUCCUAAAUAAUUAUAUCUCGUGUAAACCCCAUUUGAGCCUGUAUCCAUUUGUUUGUUUAAACCCCAUAAAUGUACCCCUUGUCCAAAAAAAUUCCUUACCCUGUUCAGAGUCAUGUUAAUACAUUUAAAUUGUGUUGAAAAGAUAAGUUUGGAGUAAAAAACCCCAAGAGCUCCCAAAGCCAAGAAAGUGCGGAAAAAAGAAAAAAAAAGUGAAAUAGGAAAUCAUCGUGAGAAAAGAAAAAAAAAGAAAAAAAAAGUAUAACUCGAAGAUUCA
Molecule: long non-coding RNA, 384 nt
Filed under: Lathyrus oleraceus (garden pea)
Lineage: Eukaryota; Viridiplantae; Streptophyta; Magnoliopsida; Fabales; Fabaceae
Description: Pisum sativum (pea) long non-coding RNA (PSAT_LNC018240)
Source: RNAcentral